GCUGAAGUGGUCUGGGUGCCUAUAGUGGUUCUUUAGUGGUUCUUUAUGCCCAUUGAAGUGGUCUGGGUGCCAACUCCCACUACAUUUAACCCUGCAAUUGUAAUUGUGACAAACUGCCAUUUGCCACUGGGCAUUGGAGAGGCCUGUUUGCCAGCCUCCUGCCCUGCGACUAUGGCCCUGGGAUGUAUUGCCCUUUAAGGAACUGAUUUGGGCAUACUGUAUUUUAUUAUGCUGCUGAC
Non-coding RNA from Pelobates cultripes (western spadefoot toad), 239 nucleotides. The record is from the annotation of a GenBank genome assembly. NCBI's taxonomy places the organism in Eukaryota, Metazoa, Chordata, Amphibia, Anura, Pelobatidae.